RNAcentral lists this ribosomal RNA (2215 nucleotides) under Klebsiella aerogenes. RNAcentral describes it as "partial 23S ribosomal RNA". It matches the Rfam family "Bacterial large subunit ribosomal RNA", at positions 600 to 2797 of the family's 2925-position model. The record is from RNAcentral. Lineage: Bacteria; Pseudomonadati; Pseudomonadota; Gammaproteobacteria; Enterobacterales; Enterobacteriaceae.
CGUACCUUUUGUAUAAUGGGUCAGCGACUUAUAUUCUGUAGCAAGGUUAACCGUAUAGGGGAGCCGCAGGGAAACCGAGUCUUAACUGGGCGUUAAGUUGCAGGGUAUAGACCCGAAACCCGGUGAUCUAGCCAUGGGCAGGUUGAAGGUUGGGUAACACUAACUGGAGGACCGAACCGACUAAUGUUGAAAAAUUAGCGGAUGACUUGUGGCUGGGGGUGAAAGGCCAAUCAAACCGGGAGAUAGCUGGUUCUCCCCGAAAGCUAUUUAGGUAGCGCCUCGUGAAUUCAUCUUCGGGGGUAGAGCACUGUUUCGGCUAGGGGGUCAUCCCGACUUACCAACCCGAUGCAAACUACGAAUACCGAAGAAUGUUAUCACGGGAGACACACGGCGGGUGCUAACGUCCGUCGUGAAGAGGGAAACAACCCAGACCGCCAGCUAAGGUCCCAAAGUCACAGUUAAGUGGGAAACGAUGUGGGAAGGCACAGACAGCCAGGAUGUUGGCUUAGAAGCAGCCAUCAUUUAAAGAAAGCGUAAUAGCUCACUGGUCGAGUCGGCCUGCGCGGAAGAUGUAACGGGGCUAAACUGUGCACCGAAGCUGCGGCAGCGACACUAUGUGUUGUUGGGUAGGGGAGCGUUCUGUAAGCCUGCGAAGGUGGCCUGUGAGGGUUGCUGGAGGUAUCAGAAGUGCGAAUGCUGACAUAAGUAACGAUAAUGCGGGUGAAAAGCCCGCACGCCGGAAGACCAAGGGUUCCUGUCCAACGUUAAUCGGGGCAGGGUGAGUCGACCCCUAAGGCGAGGCCGAAAGGCGUAGUCGAUGGGAAACAGGUUAAUAUUCCUGUACUUGGUGUUACUGCGAAGGGGGGACGGAGAAGGCUAUGUUAGCCGGGCGACGGUUGUCCCGGUUUAAGCAUGUAGGCGGAGGUUCCAGGUAAAUCCGGUACCUUUUUAACGCUGAGGUGUGAUGACGAGGCACUACGGUGCUGAAGUAACAAAUGCCCUGCUUCCAGGAAAAGCCUCUAAGCAUCAGGUAACAUUAAAUCGUACCCCAAACCGACACAGGUGGUCAGGUAGAGAAUACCAAGGCGCUUGAGAGAACUCGGGUGAAGGAACUAGGCAAAAUGGUGCCGUAACUUCGGGAGAAGGCACGCUGAUAUGUAGGUGAAGCCCCUGCGGGUGGAGCUGAAAUCAGUCGAAGAUACCAGCUGGCUGCAACUGUUUAUUAAAAACACAGCACUGUGCAAACACGAAAGUGGACGUAUACGGUGUGACGCCUGCCCGGUGCCGGAAGGUUAAUUGAUGGGGUUAUCCGUAAGGAGAAGCUCUUGAUCGAAGCCCCGGUAAACGGCGGCCGUAACUAUAACGGUCCUAAGGUAGCGAAAUUCCUUGUCGGGUAAGUUCCGACCUGCACGAAUGGCGUAAUGAUGGCCAGGCUGUCUCCACCCGAGACUCAGUGAAAUUGAACUCGCUGUGAAGAUGCAGUGUACCCGCGGCAAGACGGAAAGACCCCGUGAACCUUUACUAUAGCUUGACACUGAACAUUGAGCCUUGAUGUGUAGGAUAGGUGGGAGGCUUUGAAGCGUGGACGCCAGUCUGCGUGGAGCCAACCUUGAAAUACCACCCUUUAAUGUUUGAUGUUCUAACGUUGGCCCCUUAUCGGGGUUGCGGACAGUGUCUGGUGGGUAGUUUGACUGGGGCGGUCUCCUCCCAAAGAGUAACGGAGGAGCACGAAGGUUAGCUAAUCCUGGUCGGACAUCAGGAGGUUAGUGCAAUGGCAUAAGCUAGCUUGACUGCGAGCGUGACGGCGCGAGCAGGUGCGAAAGCAGGUCAUAGUGAUCCGGUGGUUCUGAAUGGAAGGGCCAUCGCUCAACGGAUAAAAGGUACUCCGGGGAUAACAGGCUGAUACCGCCCAAGAGUUCAUAUCGACGGCGGUGUUUGGCACCUCGAUGUCGGCUCAUCACAUCCUGGGGCUGAAGUAGGUCCCAAGGGUAUGGCUGUUCGCCAUUUAAAGUGGUACGCGAGCUGGGUUUAGAACGUCGUGAGACAGUUCGGUCCCUAUCUGCCGUGGGCGCUGGAGAAUUGAGGGGGGCUGCUCCUAGUACGAGAGGACCGGAGUGGACGCAUCACUGGUGUUCGGGUUGUCAUGCCAAUGGCAUUGCCCGGUAGCUAAAUGCGGAAGAGAUAAGUGCUGAAAGCAUCUAAGCACGAAACUUGC